GGACCCGUAGCUCAGCUGGAUAGAGCGCUGCCCUCCGAAGGCAGAGGUCGAACGUUCGAAUCGUUUCGGGUCCGCCA
This 77-nucleotide transfer RNA is filed under the name Alphaproteobacteria bacterium. RNAcentral's name for it is "tRNA-Arg". It matches the Rfam family "tRNA". From Rfam's summary of the family: Transfer RNA (tRNA) molecules are approximately 80 nucleotides in length. Their secondary structure includes four short double-helical elements and three loops (D, anti-codon, and T loops). Further hydrogen bonds mediate the characteristic L-shaped molecular structure. tRNAs have two regions of fundamental functional importance: the anti-codon, which is responsible for specific mRNA codon recognition, and the 3' end, to which the tRNAs corresponding amino acid is attached (by aminoacyl-tRNA synthetases). tRNAs cope with the degeneracy of the genetic code in two manners: having more than one tRNA (with a specific anti-codon) for a particular amino acid; and 'wobble' base-pairing, i.e. permitting non-standard base-pairing at the 3rd anti-codon position. RNAcentral also lists the same sequence under 2 other names. The record is from RNAcentral. Lineage: Bacteria; Pseudomonadati; Pseudomonadota; Alphaproteobacteria.